RNAcentral lists this ribosomal RNA (487 nucleotides) under uncultured bacterium. RNAcentral describes it as "bacterial SSU rRNA". It matches the Rfam family "Bacterial small subunit ribosomal RNA", at positions 8 to 507 of the family's 1533-position model. The record is from RNAcentral.
AGAGUUUGAUCCUGGCUCAGAAUGAACGUUGGCGGCGUGGAUUAGGCAUGCGAGUCGUGCGAGAACCGUAGCAAUACGGGGACAGCGGCGAAAGGGAGAGGAACACGUGGAUACCUACCCUCAGGUUCAGGAUAGCUAUGGGAAACUAUAGGUAAUACUGAAUAAUAUCUCCGGAUCAAAGGUGUGAUUCCGCCGGAGGAGGGGGUCCGCGUCCUAUUAGCUAGUUGGUGAGGUAAUGGCUCACCAAGGCGAAGAUGGGUACGGGAUGUGAGAACAUGAUCCCGCUCAUUGGGACUGAGACACUGCCCAGACACCUACGGGUGGCUGCAGUCGAGAAUCUUCGGCAAUGGGGGAAACCCUGACCGAGCGACGCCGCGUGUGAGAUGAAGGCCUUCGGGUUGUAAAUCACUGUCGUAGAGGAGGAAGUGUAGGUGGGUUCUCCCACUUAUUUGACCUAUUCUAGGAGGAAGGACGGGCUAAGUUCGUG